This 253-nucleotide ribosomal RNA is filed under the name uncultured bacterium. RNAcentral's name for it is "partial 16S ribosomal RNA". It matches the Rfam family "Bacterial small subunit ribosomal RNA", at positions 524 to 776 of the family's 1533-position model. The record is from RNAcentral.
UACAGAGGGUGCUAGCGUUGCUCGGAUUGACUGGGCGUAAAGGGCGCGUAGGCGGUUCGUACAGUCAGACGUGAAAUUCCUGGGCUCAACCUGGGGGCUGCGUUUGAUACGUGCGGACUUGAGUGCGGAAGAGGGUCGUGGAAUUCCCAGUGUAGAGGUGAAAUUCGUAGAUAUUGGGAAGAACACCGGUGGCGAAGGCGGCGACCUGGUCCGAUACUGACGCUGAGGCGCGAAAGCGUGGGGAGCAAACAGG